GGGGAUUUAGCUCAGUGGUAGAGCGCUUGCCUAGCAAGCACAAGGUGGGUUCAGUCCCCA
RNAcentral lists this transfer RNA (60 nucleotides) under Rattus norvegicus (Norway rat). It matches the Rfam family "tRNA". Rfam says of the family: Transfer RNA (tRNA) molecules are approximately 80 nucleotides in length. Their secondary structure includes four short double-helical elements and three loops (D, anti-codon, and T loops). Lineage: Eukaryota; Metazoa; Chordata; Mammalia; Rodentia; Muridae. The record is from Rfam by way of RNAcentral.